UAAGGUCACGGCGACACGAGCCGUUUAUCAUUACGAUAGGUGUCAAGUGGAAGUGCAGUGACGUAUGCAGCUGAGGCAUCCUAACAGACCGAGAGAUUUGAAC
RNAcentral lists this ribosomal RNA (103 nucleotides) under Asparagus officinalis (garden asparagus). Its description in RNAcentral is "4.5S ribosomal RNA". The record is from RNAcentral. Lineage: Eukaryota; Viridiplantae; Streptophyta; Magnoliopsida; Asparagales; Asparagaceae.